This 414-nucleotide ribosomal RNA is filed under the name uncultured bacterium. Its description in RNAcentral is "bacterial SSU rRNA". It matches the Rfam family "Bacterial small subunit ribosomal RNA", at positions 33 to 492 of the family's 1533-position model. The record is from RNAcentral.
UACGCUGGCGGCACGCCUAAACAUGCAAGUCGAACGAAGUAGCAAUACUUAGUGGCAGACGGGUGAGUAACAUGUAGGUAUCUGCCCUUUGGCCUGGAAUAACACGAGGAAACUUGUGCUAAUACCGGAUAAGUCUUUACGGAGAAAGCUUUAUGCACCAUUGGAUGAGCCUGCACUAGAUUAGUUUGUUGGUGGGGUAAUGGCCUACCAAGACUGUGAUCUAUAGCUGAUUUGAGAGGAUGAUCAGCCACAUUGGGACUGAGACACGGCCCAAACUCCUACGGGAGGCAGCAGUGGGGAAUCUUGCACAAUGGAGGAAACUCUGAUGCAGCGAUGCCGCGUGAGUGAAGAAGGCCUUUGGGUUGUAAAGCUCUUUCGUCGGGGAAGAAAAUGACUGUACCCGAAUAAGAAGGU